Molecule: long non-coding RNA, 786 nt
Filed under: Homo sapiens (human)
Lineage: Eukaryota; Metazoa; Chordata; Mammalia; Primates; Hominidae
Description: non-protein coding lnc-HTT-1:1
Source: RNAcentral
GAUCUCAAACUCCUGGGCUUAAGCAAUACAGCCGCGUUGGCCUCCCAAAGUGUUGGGAUUACAAGCAUGAGCUACCCCACCCAGCUCAUUUUACAUUUCCACUUGUUAAACUGAAAACUGGCCCGAGAAAGCUUCUGUACUGCCAUCCUUGCGUCCUUGCAGAUGAAUCGUAACCUAGCAUAGUAGGUAGGCAGACUGAAAACCUAACUUAGCAGUAGGCUUCUGUAACAACAGCUGUGUCUCAGCCAGUUCCUGCAGCCAGACUUCAACCACUCACAGGCCGCAAACUGUUCAAACUGUGUUCGGAGAAGGCGAAUUCAUCUGGCUGUUAACGUGCCUCACUUCUGCUUUCUGUGGCCACUUUCCCUUUUCUGUCCAUAAAUUUGCUUUGACCACACAGCAUCCCUAGAGUCUCCCUGAAUCUGCUGUGAUUCUGGGACCUGCACCAUUUGUGAAUUGUUUUUUUUUUCCUUGAUCAGCUAAACUCUGUUCAAUUCAAUUUGUUGGAAGUUUUUAACAUACCAAUGGUGCACCAAGGUUCCAAUUUCUCCACUUCCUCAUAAAUAAGUCAUUUUAAAUGGCUUUUCAGUAUUCCAAUAUUUGGAAGUAUUAAUGUUUCUACCAAUUUUCUAUUUUUGGACAUUGAGGUUGUUUCAUUUUUUUUUUCUUUUUUUGAGACAGAGUCUCGCUCCGUCACCCAGGCUGGAGUGCAGUGGCCUGAUCCCGGCCCACUGCAACCUCCACCUCCCUCCUCAGCCUCCUGAGUAGCUGGGAUUACAGGUGCAU